This is a long non-coding RNA of Penaeus monodon (black tiger shrimp), 284 nucleotides long. RefSeq lists it as uncharacterized. Lineage: Eukaryota; Metazoa; Arthropoda; Malacostraca; Decapoda; Penaeidae. The record is from RefSeq and is a predicted model, not a curated record. The transcript is spliced from 3 exons.
AGGCUACGGCGGCAGAGGAUUCGGAGGAGGUGGAUUUACCAGUGGACACAGAGGUGGAUUCGGCGGAGGACGCGGCAGUGGCUUUGGAGGAUCCGGAGGUUAUGGCAGCAGGGGAUUCGGAGGAGGUGGUUUUGGAGGAGGCCACGGGGGCUUCGGCGGAGGCUUCGGAGGCGGUCGUGGAGGCGGCUUCGGAGGAGGAUAUGGAAAAUAAAGUGUGGCUGCUCGGCGACUCUUCAUAAGUGGUCAGCGUCCAUCUAUGUUUGUAAUAAAAUAUAUUCUACACU